UGGGGAAUUUUGGGCAAUGGGCGAAAGCCUGAUCCAGCCAUGCCGCGUGUGUGAAGAAGGUCUUCGGAUUGUAAAGCACUUUAAGUUGGGAGGAAGGGCAGUUACCUAAUACGUAUCUGUUUUGACGUUACCGACAGAAUAAGCACCGGCUAACUCUGUGCCAGCAGCCGCGGUAAUACAGAGGGUGCAAGCGUUAAUCGGAAUUACUGGGCGUAAAGCGCGCGUAGGUGGUUUGUUAAGUUGGAUGUGAAAUCCCCGGGCUCAACCUGGGAACUGCAUUCAAAACUGACAAGCUAGAGUAUGGUAGAGGGUGGUGGAAUUUCCUGUGUAGCGGUGAAAUGCGUAGAUAUAGGAAGGAACACCAGUGGCGAAGGCGACCACCUGGACUGAUACUGACACUGAGGUGCGAAAGCGUGGGGAGCAAACAGGAUUAGAUACCCCUGUAGUCCCUGAGCGGGCUGGCAAGGCGCAU
This 472-nucleotide ribosomal RNA is filed under the name uncultured bacterium. RNAcentral describes it as "bacterial SSU rRNA". It matches the Rfam family "Bacterial small subunit ribosomal RNA", at positions 355 to 825 of the family's 1533-position model. The record is from RNAcentral.